RNAcentral lists this ribosomal RNA (460 nucleotides) under uncultured bacterium. RNAcentral's name for it is "partial 16S ribosomal RNA". It matches the Rfam family "Bacterial small subunit ribosomal RNA", at positions 338 to 795 of the family's 1533-position model. The record is from RNAcentral.
CCUACGGGUGGCAGCAGUGAGGAAUAUUGGUCAAUGGACGAGAGUCUGAACCAGCCAAGUAGCGUGAAGGAUGACUGCCCUAUGGGUUGUAAACUUCUUUUAUAUGGGAAUAAAAUGUUCCACGUGUGGGAUUUUGUAUGUACCAUAUGAAUAAGGAUCGGCUAACUCCGUGCCAGCAGCCGCGGUAAUACGGAGGAUCCGAGCGUUAUCCGGAUUUAUUGGGUUUAAAGGGAGCGUAGGUGGAUUGUUAAGUCAGUUGUGAAAGUUUGCGGGUCAACCGUAAAAUUGCAGUUGAAACUGGCAGUCUUGAGUACAGUAGAGGUGGGCGGAAUUCGUGGUGUAGCGGUGAAAUGCUUAGAUAUCACGAAGAACUCCGAUUGCGAAGGCAGUUCACUGGACUGCAACCGACACUGAGGCUCGAAAGUGUGGGUAUCAAACAGGAUUAGAUACCCGUGUAGUC